UGGUGAUAUCUCCUUAUCUAUAUCAAUGGAGGUACUCGAUCAUGCUGUGGGUUGAAAAAACCUUAGACGCUCGUCGUCAUUAGUGUGGUGUGAGGUUGGGUUAAAUGCCCG
Molecule: non-coding RNA, 111 nt
Organism: Anaerobacillus sp.
Lineage: Bacteria; Bacillati; Bacillota; Bacilli; Caryophanales; Bacillaceae
Source: Rfam